CUGCAGCUGGUUAAGCCAACUUGCUCACCUCCCUGAUGGGGCUCAGUGUGCAGUCCCUGCAAAAAACAGACUCCUGGGUUGUGAAUACAGCUCAUUCCUUGUAUAUGUUGUUUGGGUGACACCUUGCCCUCCCCA
This 135-nucleotide small nucleolar RNA is filed under the name Dasypus novemcinctus (nine-banded armadillo). RNAcentral's name for it is "Small nucleolar RNA SNORA70 (ENSDNOG00000030427.1)". It matches the Rfam family "Small nucleolar RNA SNORA70". Rfam says of the family: snoRNA U70 seems to be exclusive to mammals and is a member of the H/ACA class of snoRNA which contain H (ANANNA) and ACA box motifs. H/ACA box snoRNAs are involved in the conversion of uridines to pseudouridines (5-ribosyluracil) a constituent of structural RNAs (transfer, ribosomal, small nuclear, and small nucleolar). The record is from RNAcentral. Lineage: Eukaryota; Metazoa; Chordata; Mammalia; Cingulata; Dasypodidae.